Long non-coding RNA from Equus caballus (horse), 3647 nucleotides. The record is from Ensembl. Lineage: Eukaryota; Metazoa; Chordata; Mammalia; Perissodactyla; Equidae.
GCAAAACAACCAUUCCCUGCUUGCUCUCUGGCUUCCUGGCUCCAGAAUCCACUAUUCUCCAUGGAGACAGACACCAUCAAGGACAAGCACCUGGACUAUCUUCUCCCUCAAAGAGAUACAGGCUGGUGGGAAAGCUGAUGACCAGCAAGGUCAUGAGCUCCCUCCUGUCUGCAAGGAGUCUCAAGGCCAAAGACAGGCUGGUGGGAAAGCUCCAACCAGCAAGGCCAUAUGCUCCCCCUCCCCUACCUAAAGCCCCAAAUAAAAACCCUUCCUUCUAGCUUUUCGGGGAGUUUGGGAUUUCAGCGUUAGCUGCCCUCUCUUCUUGCUCAGCACUGUGCAAAAAUAAAAUUUCUACUUUAUUCCACCACAUCCGGUGUCAGAGAUUGGCUUGCUGCACAACGGGUGAGCGAACUCACUUCAGGUUUGGUAACAAUUUGGCAACCCAGAUGGGACAAUGUCCCAGGUGGACGUCUUGCCUGUGGCACACUGGCCUCUGGCUAAAGGCCUCUCUUGGAAGCUGUCCUGCAGCUGCCUGAGCCCCUUGUCUCAGGGACAGCCCCAAGCAGCUGGCUGCUAGCCAGACGUCCUUGGCCCAUGGCACUUUUGCUUUGGUGGUGGAAGAAACUAGGUUUAGGACUUAGGAAGACGUCUCUUGUAAGUAGCUGGUAGUUUUUGUUUUCGUCUUUGUGUUAACCUUUUCCAACAGGACCGGCCGGAAAUAAUGGGUACCUUGGCAGCCCUCUGGGCUCCGUUUGUUUUGAAGUCACCGCGACGCCCUGGCCAAAUUUUGGACACAAUUGGAAACAGUGGUUAUAUUACCAAGGCUUUGACUGGAACAUCAUGUUUGAAAAAACAUACGGGCUUGGAUAUAACAAGACAGCUUUUGAGGAAUGAAGGUUGACAUUCUGGAAUAAAGCCACUUGGAAAUAUUGGCCUGGUACUGUACUUAUGGGUUCUGUAACCUGGUAAGGUUAAGCAAAGAAUGUCGCUCCCUCUGGCAGGUACAAGGAACCUCAAUAUUUUGGGAAGCCUCAUGAAGAGAGGGAUUCACCCAAAUCUGUAGGUACUGCAGGCAGAAUGUGAUAACAGGUCCUUUGCUUGGCUUUCUUUGAGAGACCUUUAAAAUUCAACCUGAGAUUCCUUAUAAGGUUUCAGCAAAGCAGAUUUAAAAGAGCCUAUAUGAUCAAUUACUAUUCUUGCUGUACUUAUGUAAGUAAUUAUGCCAAAUUUAUUAAAACUGGACAUUUUGCAAACCAGUUAGUCUUAAUUUGGCUAUGUCUAGUGAAAUUGAAGAUGAUUUUAGGGAGGAAGAUUAUAUUUCAAUGGAAACUAUAAUACAUAUUUAUAAAUAUUGGAUUUUAGUUUUUUCAAUUAUCUUUGAAAUUUUUGUUUUACUUCUGUUAACUGGACUGGAUCUUGAAUUCUUCAUCUCCUGAAAUAUCUGGCUAAAAACCUCCAAACUAACAUUUUCAGGGUUUUUUUUCUCAUUAUUUUCAUUUGGAGUCAUUGAAAACUAAAUCUGCCCUUUGUCCUAAAGCCUUACAAACUGAAGCCGGAGGACCUAAUAUAAACUUAAGAGAGAUUCAUGUUUACUGCUGUGUAAGCCACUCAAAAAGCUACCUGAGUGCCCAAUGACACCAUCAGAGACAUUUCAAACUGCAAAAGAUGCUUCGACCCUGACUUCUAGGAAUCUUGAUUGGCUGGCCCCCAGGCUCAGAAACUGGUUUAUAAUUUGCUCCGAUCAUUAACCUUGUUUUUCUCUUUUUGUUUCUCUUGAAAAACUUCUUAAUAAAUACCUGGUUACCUACUUACAUGAUACAGGCCUACCUUCAGGAGCCCACCAGCAUCACUGCCUUAUUAAAAGACUGGUUCAAUGAGAUGAAACGACCUACGCCCCAUUUCAGCAGGAAGUAGCUAGAUCGGUCGCCACCCCAAAUCCCUCAAGACUGAGGGAUGGACAUAAAAUAGGGGGGAAGUUGACACCGAUCCUGAUAUCAGUUUCCCCACACUAAACCCAGCAUAUAUGGGGUUAAAAGCAAAACACCCAUUCCCUGCUUGCUCUCUGGCUCCCUGGCUCCAGAAUCCACUAUUCUCCAUGGAGACAGACAUCAUCAAGGACAAGCACCUGGACUAUCUCCUCCCACAAAGAUAUACGGGCUGGUGGGAAAGCUGAUGACCAGCAAGGUCAUGAGCUCCCUCCUGUCUGCAAGGAGUCUCAAGGCCAAAGACAAACUGGUGGGAAAGCUCCAACCAGCAAGGCCAUAUGCUCCCCCUCCCCUACCUAAAGCCCCAAAUAAAAACCCUUCCUUCUAGCUUUUCGGGGAGUUUGGGAUUUCAGCGUUAGCUGCCCUCUCUCCUUGCUCAGUGCUGUGCAAAAAUAAAAUUUCUACUAUCUUCCACCACACUCAGUGUCAGAGGCUGGCUUGCUGCACAACGGGUGAGCGAACUCACUUCAGGUUGGGUAACACUAUGUAUGAAGAUUGAGUUGUUUUAAAUGUGAAAGAGAUUUUAGACGCCAUCUGGUUUAUGUUCCCCUUUCUACCCUCAAGGAGAGACUUAAAGAGGCAAAGUGACUGGUUUGAGAUAGAUAUACUUUGUUUACAUAAGAAAGACAAUAAUUUUAAUUUAUACAAAACAAUAUGUUAUCUCCCAUUUUUCUGUAAGUGCCUGAUACUCUCAUUUUGUUUUCCAUUUUUCUGGGUUUUAUUACAAAAAGAAUAAAGAUAAAUAAUUCUCCUCCACCAGAAAAACCAUGUAAGUAUGAUGACAGUGGUAACUGACAGCCUCAGGAUCAGUGAGACAGCUGGGAGGGGUAGGGACUGCGGAGAAAUGGAGAGCAGCCGCCUCUGGUGUCCAGCCAACCAUUUGGGGCGUGUAGGCCCAGCUGCAGAUCUUCCAAGUUUUCAAGAGAAAUGAAGACGCAGGUUUAUAUUUGAAAUUUCCCAAUUUAUAAAUUUGGUUCAAAUUUUAAAAGUACUGUGUAGUUCAAAUGAAAUAUGAAUCUGUCCCACAUGAGGUCAAAGUAGGGGACAGGCAUAUGAAGGGACGCUGGAGAGGAGUCAAGGGUCAAACUACAGUGGACAUUUAAGAUCAUGGAAUAUAAUCCAAUGACAGCAGAAAUUUUUAGAGAUUUUAAAACUGGGACAGGGCUGGCCUGGUGGUGUAGAGGUUAAGUUAAGAUGCUCUGUUUUAGUGGCCCAGGGUUCGCAGGAUUGGAUCCCAGGCAGUGACCUACACUGCUCGUCAAGCCACACUGUGGCUGCAUCCCACAUACAAAAUAAAGGAAGACUGGCACAGAUACUAGCUCAGGGACAAUUUUCCUCAAACAUGAAAGAGGAAGAUUGGCAACAGAUGUUGGCUCACGCCUAAUCUUCCUCACCAAAAAUAUAAAUAAAUAAAAUAAAUAAAGAAUAAAACUGGCAGGGCCUGGCUCCUGGUGGAGUAAAGUUCUGUGUGCUCCACUCUGGCAGCCCAGCUUCACAGGUUCAGAUCCUGGGUGCGGACCUACUCCAUUCCUCAGCCAUGCUGUGGACAUGUCCCACUUACAAAAUAGAGGACAAUUUGCACAGAUGUUAUCUCAGGGCUGAUCUUCCUCACCAAAAAAGAAAAUAAAAAAUAAAUAAAAUAAAACUGGGAUAUAAAAGGAC